AUCCGAAAGAAAUAUCGAAUAACUAGCAAACUGGAUCGAAUCGGCGAGGGGCAAUUUGGUCAAUUCAUUCCUUCUUCCUCACCAAAUUCGGCUGCCCAUGCUCCCACCCCACCUCCAUUGCCAAACCACCAUGAAAGCUUGAUUCAAGCUUCAAAUCUCCCGCUAAACCCUAAUCUCUUCUUCAAUCAAUUGAUAAAAGCUUGUUAACUACACUAGAGAAAGAGAUUGAAGAGGAAAGAAAGAAGAAAAAGAGCAUAAACUUAGUAAUUGAAAAUCAAACCAAGGUUAGUAUGUAACUUUGAAUUCUUUUGUUAAAUUUCUAUGUUCUUAGUUAAGUUAACUUAGAUUUUAACUUAAAUCCAAACAAAAACUAUCCUUGGGUGACCAAAUAGGAAUUUCGGCCAGCUUUAUGCAGGGUUUAGAUUAAAUGAUUUUGAUGUAUUU
RNAcentral lists this unclassified non-coding RNA (444 nucleotides) under Hevea brasiliensis (rubber tree). Lineage: Eukaryota; Viridiplantae; Streptophyta; Magnoliopsida; Malpighiales; Euphorbiaceae. The record is from RNAcentral.